UAGCUACAUAUGUUCCAUAACAGACGUCCACUUUUUGAUGAAAAGGUGGACACUACAUCACCAAUACAAGUUUAAUGGCUACAUACGGCACUCAGUUUACACUUACAUUACAUAUGCAUUUUAACACAUCAACUAUAACACCUUUAUUUAAGUCUGUUGUGGACCAUAGAAUAUGGUAAAUUACAACAAGCAAAAUAAAGUUAUAUAUGCUUUUAUAAAAUAACAUGCUAUUUU
Non-coding RNA from Escherichia coli MS 84-1, 234 nucleotides. The record is from Rfam. Lineage: Bacteria; Pseudomonadati; Pseudomonadota; Gammaproteobacteria; Enterobacterales; Enterobacteriaceae.